This 337-nucleotide unclassified non-coding RNA is filed under the name soil metagenome. RNAcentral's name for it is "partial contains 5.8S ribosomal RNA, internal transcribed spacer 2, and large subunit ribosomal RNA". The stretch from base 1 to 120 matches the Rfam family "5.8S ribosomal RNA", at positions 35 to 154 of the family's 154-position model. The record is from RNAcentral.
GAUGAAGAACGUAGCGAAAUGCGAUAAGUAGUGUGAAUUGCAGAAUUCAGUGAAUCAUCGAAUCUUUGAACGCACAUUGCGCCCCUUGGUAUUCCAUGGGGCAUGCCUGUUCGAGCGUCAUUUGUACCUUCAAGCUCUGCUUGGUGUUGGGUGUUUGUCUCGCCUCUGCGUGUAGACUCGCCUCAAAACAAUUGGCAGCCGGCGUAUUGAUUUCGGAGCGCAGUACAUCUCGCGCUUUGCACUCAUAACGACGACGUCCAAAAGUACAUUUUUACACUCUUGACCUCGGAUCAGGUAGGGAUACCCUCUGAACUUAAGCAUAUCGAUAAGCGGAGGA